GGCGGUAUAGCUCAUUGGUAGAGCAUGUGCUUAUUAGUGUGUAUGAUGUCCUGGGUUCAAUCCACAGUGCCUCCA
RNAcentral lists this transfer RNA (75 nucleotides) under Camelus bactrianus (Bactrian camel). It matches the Rfam family "tRNA". From Rfam's summary of the family: Transfer RNA (tRNA) molecules are approximately 80 nucleotides in length. Their secondary structure includes four short double-helical elements and three loops (D, anti-codon, and T loops). Lineage: Eukaryota; Metazoa; Chordata; Mammalia; Artiodactyla; Camelidae. The record is from Rfam by way of RNAcentral. RNAcentral also lists the same sequence under 2 other names.